UUUACUUCUGCUCAGCAAAUAAAGCUGCAUUUUUGAGUCAAGUUCCCAUUUUGAGCUCUAUCCAGGAGAAAGGCACUGCUGCCAAGAGCACGAUGAAAGGCUGCAUAAUUUUGUCUCCCGGAUUAUAAACCACUCCGCCUGUUCCUUUGUCUCUCUUCCCUGAGGUCUGGUGUGUGAGCAGGUAAGUCUUACUACAGCUAUGAGGUCAUGCAACCGGCUUCGACUGGAUCUCUGGCUAGCACACCUGCUCUCCCUCGGCUUAUCAGCCAGCUGCAUAUUUAAGAGUCGUUCACUCAACAUCAGGUUAUACUGCUUCAGUAGUGCUAACAGCUUCCAGCCCAGCUUAGUGUCUUUGCGUCUGGUCUCCUCUUUAAUAUUCUCCAGUGGGCUCAGCUCUGGAACAGCCCCCUCUGCUGCACUCCAUCCAUCAUCAUCAACAAAGUUCUCCCACUAGUUUUGUUCUUCAUCUGUAUGCUAAACGAUUCCAGUAACUUGUCACAUAAUUGUUAUAGGGUAACUGUCUGUUCAUGACUUUGUAAACUAUCUAAACCUUCACUGUCACAUUUGCAGGUAGAAAAAAGCAAUAUCACCUGCUCUAUAAGAUUUUGCCACAGAAUGUAUUGCUAUAAUGUGUUAAGUGUAUUUUUAAUUC
Long non-coding RNA from Pundamilia nyererei, 652 nucleotides. RefSeq lists it as uncharacterized. The transcript is spliced from 3 exons. Lineage: Eukaryota; Metazoa; Chordata; Actinopteri; Cichliformes; Cichlidae. The record is from RefSeq and is a predicted model, not a curated record.